UGGCUCAGAACGAACGCUGGCGGCAAGCCUAACACAUGCAAGUCGAACGGACAAUUAUUUAUAGCCUCUGGCUAUAGGAAAUUGUUAGUGGCAGACGGGUGAGUAAUGCGUAGGAAUCUACCUAGUAGUACGGAAUAGCCAUUAGAAAUGGUGGGUAAUACUGUAUAAUCCCCGAGGGGGAAAGAUUUAUCGCUAUUAGAUGAGCCUACGUUAGAUUAGCUAGUUGGUGAGGUAAUGGCUUACCAAGGCUAUGAUCUAUAGCUGGUCUGAGAGGACGAUCAGCCACACUGGAACUGAGAUACGGUCCAGACUCCUACGGGAGGCAGCAGUGGGGAAUAUUGGACAAUGGGCGAAAGCCUGAUCCAGCUAUGCCGCGUGAGUGAAGAAGGCCUUCGGGUUGUAAAACUCUUUCAAUAGGGAAGAUAAUGACGGUACCUAUAGAAGAAGUCCCGGCAAACUC
RNAcentral lists this ribosomal RNA (460 nucleotides) under Ehrlichia canis. RNAcentral describes it as "bacterial SSU rRNA". It matches the Rfam family "Bacterial small subunit ribosomal RNA", at positions 20 to 503 of the family's 1533-position model. Lineage: Bacteria; Pseudomonadati; Pseudomonadota; Alphaproteobacteria; Rickettsiales; Anaplasmataceae. The record is from RNAcentral.